CCAUGGAGAUAGAUGCAGUAUAAAAGCCUCAGUAGCUAGCUAGAUUGGAUUGAUAGCGGCACACUAAUCAUCAAUAGCACCGUACCACUAGAUCCUACAGCAAAGAAAGGCCAUGAACAACACUGAUACACAACAGCGAUUAUUGUGACAUCUUAAGAACUUUUCAUAUACUGUAGUGAGGAGGCAUGGCCUCCUUUGGGCACAGAGCGAAUGCCACAAGCCACCUGGAGGGCGGAGCCAGGAGGGCCAUGCCCCACAUGCCAGAAGCAGACGGGCAGAACAAGAAGAAGUAUAAAAGGAUGGCCCAGCAGCUCAGUUGACAGGGAGCUGUUGAAGGAGACAAAAAGAACAGAAGUACUUGUGGCACCUUAGAGACUAACAACUUCAUGAAGGAGACAGAUGCUUUUUCCCUGCUGCUGGAGUGGGACACCAAGGAGAACUGCUGCUGCCCCGGAGACCAGCCUGAGCUUCCAGAGAGCCCUGCCACACCUGAUGCUGAGGAGCUGCUGCUGCUACUCUUUGCAGUGGAUCCCAGGGAGACUGAGGAUGACCCCUGGACGCAGAAGACUCUAGCAGUAGCCGACCAAACUGUGAGGAGGCGUGACCUCUUUCCGCCACAGAUGCACGCCAGCUUAUGUGUACUUUUUACAGUUCAGAAUUAAGGAACACUUGCUGGUCCAAUUAUCACAACAGGUCACACUUUAAAGACUGUUAAAACUUUAAAAGAAGAUCAGAGGGGUAUGUGUGCUGGUGCGAUGGCUGAAGCAUGUUAUGUGGAAAGAUUACAUCUGAAUAUGUGUAACAGAAACAAAAGGGGGAAGUCUGUAUAAUAAACAUCAGUAGAUUUACUGUCUUAGUAGCUUUUGUUUAAAAGCUAUUCUUAGAAUUCCAAAUAUUAUUAACAAUGUUCUGUACUAUUUACACUGUGUUGGCAUGCAUCGAAUGUUUGUUUUACUAAGAAAGGAUACUCUUUGAAAUUGGGAAAUAUAUGUAAAACCCUGGUAAAUAAAGGUAAAUAAUAGCCCUGCAGUUUACACUACUAAAUGUCUGCCCAAAGAGCAGCCUGGUGAUAAUGAACAACCAAGAAAGCUGCAGAGAGAGUGGACUUCAAUAUCACCUGAAUGAAGAACAUGAUAAACUUUGCAUUUGUUGCAAGCUGGUGGGUUUUAUCUCUUUAAAGGCACAAACAGAUCUUAUUUAUUCUUCCGAAUGUUGCAGGAAAGGGCUGGACAUUGCAGAGCUCAUAGGUUUGAGAAAGUUCAGAACUGGGUUUUGUUAGGGUCACCUGCUACCAUCAAUCAAGUCUGGUGAAGACAAGAGUGUCUGUGAUAACUGCUGGCAGGCUGUUGGAUUCAAAGUGAUUGCUGUACAGCCCUCAUUCACACCGAACAUGAACUGCAUGCUGGCUGCAUCUGUGUCCUAGGAAGAGAGCCACAAGCAGCAGAUGCAUUUUGGGGCAUUAUAAUACAAGCAGUGAUACAACCUCUCACUGGUCUAAAUUGCACCUCAGAAUGUGACAUAGCAUCCCCAAGAAAUUGAUCAAGCUGAUAGAAAACAUCUAUAGCAAGUUGAGUGUGGUGAGAGUUAACAAGGAGAUGACAGAAUGAUUCAGGAUGAUAUGAAUAGAAUAUCAGGACAUAGAAAUGAGACAAAGAUGCAUAUUAUCACCGGAUUUGUUCAACUCGGUACUGGAAGCAGUAAUGACCAUAGCACUGAGAAAUGAAACAGGAGGAGUCAUGUUAUGUGGGAGGAUAGUGCACCUUAGAUUUGCAGAUGAUAUUGACUUCACAGCACUGACCAAGAAGUUUUACAGAGAAUAACUGACAGAGCAGAAAAUUCUGAAGACUGAUGAUGCAUUGGAUAGGCACAGUGAAGAAUGACCUAGAACAAAAAGGUUUACAGAUGUAUAAAAGCUGAGAUGCUGGCACAAGAUAAAAAGUGGUGGAAGAAUUUAAUUCAGCCCUUUCACUGCUGCUGAGCUGGUGGACAGGAAUCAAAGAAGAAGCCGGGAGGUUUAGCUCUGUGUAAUGCUUUCUGAAAAGACAGAACUUUGACCUGUGCUUCAGCAAAAAGUUAAGCUGAGGUGCAGGAAGAAGGGGAGUGUAGUUACACAGAAUACUGCCUGAGCAUCCCCUGCUUCCCUCCAUUACAUCUGCACCUGUGCACAGCCCCAUUGACAUCAACAGGGCUCCACAUGGGCAAAGGGCUGUCGGGGCAGAACUGAUGGCAGGAUUCGGACCCACAUGUGGAGAGCAGGACUGGAUAGGUGCACAUUCUACUCCACAAAAGCUAGUGCUGGCGUUUAGUGUUAAUCACAAGACUCAGCUUUUUAAGGAGAAACUUGUUUAGCCUGGAAAUCCAAAUCUUUUUCUUUAGGAAGCUUCUUGCAGACAGAGACCUCUUCAGUACAUAGCUACAGGCUAAACUCUGCAGCUGGCAUUCUGCAUACUGUCGCCUCUACAGUAGCUCACUCACUGUGCCCCCACUCCAAUGGCAGCUCCCAUUUCUUAUUCUAUAAUUUAUAUCGUAUUAACAACAUUCAAAAGGAUUACUAAACAUUCUGAACCGAUUUCUAAAAUAUUGAUUGCAGGGACCUCACACUGACCCUGUGCCUUUCUUCUAGGACUCAGACUUUCCCUCUGGAAUGUAUAUUAUCAUUUUAUAUGUCAGUGUAACACAUGAGGGUGAUAUACCAACCCAGUUUUACUGGGGCUGUAUUAAGGCAUAGGCACUAUGGGCUUGUGUUUAGGGCCUAGCUCCUGGAAUUAUUAUUACCUCAGAAUCUCAGCUUUCAGGGCAGGGGGAGAGAGUUUCUAGUUCUCAUGGGUGUGAAGAGAAGUUUAAAAUGGGACCUGGUUUAACUGAUUCAUUAAUGUUUGCAGAGAGCCUGCAAUGAUGGCUUGGAGAAGUGCGUGAAGUCCUGAACACCGUAUGGAGAUGAAUAGCUCCAAGCUGCCCACUGCUCUGGGGUAUCCUGCCCUACAUCACCCUAAAAGAGGACUGUGUGUGACAGGAAGAUAAAUGCAGCAGGUCCUGCCCACUUACUCAGAUGCAUGCUGGAGUAAGAAAUGGAGGCACCCUCCCCCCCUCCUGCUGCCACCCCUGUUUCUCCAGACCGUGGGAGGGGACAUCUACUGCUGCUCCCAAAGGGAGGGAGAGGCCCUGUUGUUGCUCCCAGGAAUGCCGGGAUGCUCCUUGCUGCCUUUCUGGGAUGAGAGAGGGCGUCCCAGCUGCUGCCUCAUCUUGUGAUGUCCCUAGGGCCCUGCAUUGCCUUAGUCUGGCCCUAAAUUUACGCCAGAGUAAUGCCAUUUAUUUGAAAACAAAUAAGCCUUGUGUCGUGCUGCUUGGUAUGCGAUAUGGCCAAGAGCGCCAAUCUCAGGACAGACUGCCAGAACAUAGGGCCUCUACCCCAGACUGGUAGUGUAUUAUACCAUAACACUUCACCAUGCCUGUAACAAAUGCGUGCUUCCAAAAUACUGCCCGUGUUGUUAUGGAGCCACAGACAGUCUCCUUCAGGCCCACUAGCCCAGGGGUGGGCAAACUUUUUGGCCCGAAGGCCACAUCUGGGUGGGGAAAUUUCAAGCAGGGCCAUGAAUAUAGGGCUGGGGCAGGGGGUUGGGGUGCGGGAGGGAGUGUGUGGUGUGGGAUGGGGCUCAGGACAAGGGAUUGGGCAGAGGAGGGAUGCAGGGUGUACAAGGGGGCUCAAGGCAGGGGAUUGGGGUGCAACAGAGGGCUGAGGGAAGGGGGUUGAGGUGCAGGAAGGGUGCGGCAUGGGGCUCAGGGCAGGGGGUUGGGGUGUGGCAGGUGGCUCAGGGCAGGGGGUCGGGGUGCAGGAGGGGUUUGCGGUGUGGGCUCCAGCUUGGCACCGCUUACCUUAAGUGGCUCCGUGGUGGAAACUGCAUGCAGCGGGGCUAAGGCAGGCUCCGUGCCUGCCCUGGCCCUGCACCGGUCCUGGAAGCAGCCGGCACCACGUCUCUUGCAGCCCCUGGGUGAGGUGGGGCAGAGGGCUCCGUGCGCUACCCUCACCUGCGAGUACCUCCCCCGAUGCUCCCUUGGCCACGGUUCCCCUUUCCCAGCCAAUGGGAGCUGCAGGGGGAGUACCCGCAGGCGAGUAUCUGCCCCACCCCCUCCCCCAGGGGCCGCAGGGAUAUGGUGCCGGACGCUUCUGGGAGUGGUGCAGGGCUCGUGGCGCCAUGGGUGUGGCAAUCCUGCGGGCCAGAUCCAAAGCCCGGUUGGGCUCUAGACUCUCAUGCACCACCCAGACAAACCAGACUUCUAUGAUUAGUGAUUAUUAAAACCAGAAAUCCCAUAUAUUAGGUUCUUCCAGUUCCAAAGAACCAGACACCCACCCCAUGUCAAUAUAUACUUCAGAUCUUACCAAAUACCAUGCUGCAGCCCAUCUUUAGUUAAAGAUUUAUUUAUAAAAAAGAAAGUUAUUAAAUGGUUGAAAUGAAUCAUAUACAUUACAGUUGAUUUCAGAGUUUGCAGAUCACGAUAAUAGCAGUGAUGUUAAAUCUCCUAGCCUGCGGUACGUCUCUCUAGAUCACCCAAAAGACUGUGGGUCCUCAGUCCGUUGUUCAAAGCUUUCCUUUGUUAGAAAUCAUAGUCCAGAGCGCUGGAGCAGGAAAGAGACAAAGAGAUGUCACAGUUUUCAAUAUAUACCCCCCGCUCCAGUCCAUGUGCAUGGAAAGUUACUGGCACAAACAUGGAGUCAGGGAUCACGUGUUCUACCUGCCUCGCUGAGUCCCUGGGGAUCCCUUGUCUAAAUGCUCUCUGAGGCAUCCUCAGGAGGAGCCCAUUGAAAGAGCCUGAUUCUCCUUAAUGGCCUGUCAACGAUGGCUGACUGGUCUUGCUGUAAAUCUGUCUUGUGGGAGUUACUCAAGAACACAAUGUUUGAGAUACAAACACAGAGCAAAGAUUCAUAAUUUCAUAUAAGUGAUAAUACACACAUGUAAACAGGAUAACAUUGUUCAACAGAUCACAACUUUUCCAAUGAUACCCUGCAAGGCAUAUUUUGUAUAAGAUUUAUCACAAUUGUGCAAUAGUGUUGAUAGAUCAGUGGUGAUCUUUCUUUUUCUACAGCAUAACAAGUUGUCCAUGAGAGAACUAUAAAAUGUACUAUAUGUCUACAAAGAAAAUCCAGACAAGUUAAAGCCCCAGGAGUGGUGUUUUUAUUAUUAUUUAUUAAUUACUUGUCCAGAUUUUCUUUGUACAAUUAUACUAAACAUCCUGGUGUCCUCAUGGAAAGAGUGAAUUGGUUUUGACUUUCAUUUAAGGUUGUUGUAAGAGCAGGGGGGAAAAUGCUGUGACAGGGGAAAACUCAUUCUUUGUUCCCUUUGAUUCUCAAUGCUGCAUUCAUUAAAUCCAAAGAGAGAUUUUUCUCUUUGCUGUGGAAAAACAUGGAAAGAAAUUUCAACUUUUAAAAAUUGACUUUGUUGGUAAAGGCAGCCAUUGUUUCUUUGAGCUGUGUUUGCCUACCUGCUAUUUUUAGUCUGUCUGUUUAAAUUGGCUUUUUCACAUGCUGCCACCAGCAUUGGAAUUUUUUCAUUAAUAGAUGGAAAUGAUGGAAUUGUCAAUAAUGCAGAAAAGGUAAAAGCAUUCAAUAAACAUUUCUGUUCUGCAUUUGGGAAAAAGCCAGAAGAUGCAUUUCAUCAUCAGCAUAUGAUAUGAAUACUUUCAUUCCAACAGUAGCUAGGAGGAUAUUAGACCUCUUUUAAAUCAGCAGGUCUAGAUAAAAUCAAAGAGUUUUAAAAGAGUUGGCUGAGGAGCUUGCUGGACUGUUAACAUUGACUUUGUUCCAACACUCAUUUAAAAAAAAAAUCAGGAAGUUCCAGAAAGUCUGGAAGAAAGCUAAUGUUAUGCCAAUAUUUAAAAAAAAAGGUAAGUCUGAUAACCUGUAAGCCUAACAUCGAUCCUGGGCAAAAUAAUAGAACAGCUGAGAUGGGAUUUGAUUAAUAAAUAAUUAAAAGUGGAUGAUAUAGUUAAUGCCAAUCAACAUGGGUUUAUGGAAAAUAGAUCUUGUCACACUGACUACAUCUUUUUUUAUGAUCACUUUGAUUGACGGACAUAAUAGUGUUGUUGUAAUAUACUUAAACUUCUGUAAGGCAUUUGACUUCAUGGUACUGCAUAACAUUUUGAUGAAGAGGCUAGAAUGAUAAAAAAAAAUCAAUAUGGCACAAAUUAAAUGGAUUAAAAACUGACAGAUCUC
Chelonia mydas (Green sea turtle) is the source of this 6208-nucleotide long non-coding RNA. RefSeq lists it as uncharacterized. The record is from RefSeq and is a predicted model, not a curated record. NCBI's taxonomy places the organism in Eukaryota, Metazoa, Chordata, Testudines, Cheloniidae. The transcript is spliced from 3 exons.